This 1493-nucleotide ribosomal RNA is filed under the name Salmonella enterica subsp. enterica serovar Gallinarum/Pullorum str. FCAV198. Its description in RNAcentral is "bacterial LSU rRNA". It matches the Rfam family "Bacterial large subunit ribosomal RNA", at positions 1336 to 2812 of the family's 2925-position model. Lineage: Bacteria; Pseudomonadati; Pseudomonadota; Gammaproteobacteria; Enterobacterales; Enterobacteriaceae. The record is from RNAcentral.
GCCGGAAGACCAAGGGUUCCUGUCCAACGUUAAUCGGGGCAGGGUGAGUCGACCCCUAAGGCGAGGCCGAAAGGCGUAGUCGAUGGGAAACGGGUUAAUAUUCCCGUACUUGGUGUUACUGCGAAGGGGGGACGGAGAAGGCUAUGUUGGCCGGGCGACGGUUGUCCCGGUUUAAGCGUGUAGGUGUGUGUUCCAGGUAAAUCCGGUUCACUUUAACACUGAGGCGUGAUGACGAGGCACUACGGUGCUGAAGUAACAAAUGCCCUGCUUCCAGGAAAAGCCUCUAAGCAUCAGGUAACAUCAAAUCGUACCCCAAACCGACACAGGUGGUCAGGUAGAGAAUACCAAGGCGCUUGAGAGAACUCGGGUGAAGGAACUAGGCAAAAUGGUGCCGUAACUUCGGGAGAAGGCACGCUGACACGUAGGUGAAGUGAUUUACUCACGGAGCUGAAGUCAGUCGAAGAUACCAGCUGGCUGCAACUGUUUAUUAAAAACACAGCACUGUGCAAACACGAAAGUGGACGUAUACGGUGUGACGCCUGCCCGGUGCCGGAAGGUUAAUUGAUGGGGUCAGCGCAAGCGAAGCUCCUGAUCGAAGCCCCGGUAAACGGCGGCCGUAACUAUAACGGUCCUAAGGUAGCGAAAUUCCUUGUCGGGUAAGUUCCGACCUGCACGAAUGGCGUAAUGAUGGCCAGGCUGUCUCCACCCGAGACUCAGUGAAAUUGAACUCGCUGUGAAGAUGCAGUGUACCCGCGGCAAGACGGAAAGACCCCGUGAACCUUUACUAUAGCUUGACACUGAACAUUGAGCCUUGAUGUGUAGGAUAGGUGGGAGGCUUUGAAGUGUGGACGCCAGUCUGCAUGGAGCCGACCUUGAAAUACCACCCUUUAAUGUUUGAUGUUCUAACGUGGACCCGUUACCCGGGUUGCGGACAGUGUCUGGUGGGUAGUUUGACUGGGGCGGUCUCCUCCUAAAGAGUAACGGAGGAGCACGAAGGUUGGCUAAUCCUGGUCGGACAUCAGGAGGUUAGUGCAAUGGCAUAAGCCAGCUUGACUGCGAGCGUGACGGCGCGAGCAGGUGCGAAAGCAGGUCAUAGUGAUCCGGUGGUUCUGAAUGGAAGGGCCAUCGCUCAACGGAUAAAAGGUACUCCGGGGAUAACAGGCUGAUACCGCCCAAGAGUUCAUAUCGACGGCGGUGUUUGGCACCUCGAUGUCGGCUCAUCACAUCCUGGGGCUGAAGCAGGUCCCAAGGGUAUGGCUGUUCGCCAUUUAAAGUGGUACGCGAGCUGGGUUUAGAACGUCGUGAGACAGUUCGGUCCCUAUCUGCCGUGGGCGCUGGAGAACUGAGGGGGGCUGCUCCUAGUACGAGAGGACCGGAGUGGACGCAUCACUGGUGUUCGGGUUGUCAUGCCAAUGGCACUGCCCGGUAGCUAAAUGCGGAAGAGAUAAGUGCUGAAAGCAUCUAAGCACGAAACUUGCCCCGAGAUGAGUUCU